CAGCAGCCGCGGGAACACGAAGGGGGCUAGCGUUGCCCGGAAUGACUGGGCGUAAAGGGCGCGUAGGCGGUUUGCACAGUCGGGUGUGAAAGCCCGGGGCUCAACCUCGGAAUUGCCUUCGAUACUGGCUGUCUUGAGUAUGAGAGAGGUGUGUGGAACUCCGAGUGUAGAGGUGAAAUUCGUAGAUAUUCGGAAGAACACCAGUGGCGAAGGCGACACACUGGCUCAUUACUGACGCUGAGGCGCGAAAGCGUGGGGAGCAAACAGGAUUAGAUACCCCAGUAGUCCCUGUCUCUUAUAC
Molecule: ribosomal RNA, 301 nt
Filed under: uncultured bacterium
Lineage: Bacteria
Description: partial 16S ribosomal RNA
Rfam family: Bacterial small subunit ribosomal RNA
Source: RNAcentral